AUGGCUCUUCUGCCAAAGACUUUAUCGGCGAUGGGAUGCACCUGCGUCUGAUUAGCCAGUUGGUGAGGUAACGGCCCACCAAAGCAACGGAUCCAGUAGCCGACCUGAGAGGGUAAUCGGCCACAUUGGAACUGAGACACGGUCCAAACGUCCUACGGGAGGCAGCAGUGGGAAUAUUGCACAAUGGGCGGCAAGCCUGAUGCAGCAACGCCGCGUGAGCGAUGAAGGUCUUCGGAUUGUAAAGCUCUGUCCUUGAGGACGAACAAUGACGGUACUCUUGGAAGGAAGCCCCGGCUAACUACGUGCC
This 307-nucleotide ribosomal RNA is filed under the name uncultured bacterium. RNAcentral's name for it is "bacterial SSU rRNA". It matches the Rfam family "Bacterial small subunit ribosomal RNA", at positions 190 to 509 of the family's 1533-position model. The record is from RNAcentral.